Molecule: long non-coding RNA, 6741 nt
Filed under: Ananas comosus (pineapple)
Lineage: Eukaryota; Viridiplantae; Streptophyta; Magnoliopsida; Poales; Bromeliaceae
Description: long non-coding RNA (ACOM_LNC033871)
Source: RNAcentral
UCUCCAAUCACUAUAACAAAAACGGUUUAUAGCGACACUUUUAAAUGUAAGUACAUGUCAAAAAAGUGCUGCUAACUAAAAUUACCGACACUUUUAAAAAGUGUUGCUAUAUGUGGGGUCGCUAGGUAUAUAGUGACAGUUAAAAAGUGUCGCUAUAACCUAAAAGAGUGCUGCUAAUUUACCAACACUUAUUUAAGUAUUUAGCAACCGCCGAAACUCUAUCUCGUUGGCUACGGUGGCGGAGGAGGACGACAGGAAAGGCUCUUCGUCUAGAAUUUCAGUGGAUUGAGUGAAAAGAGAAGAAAAGAUGGUAAUUAAUUUUUUUUUUUUCUUUUCUGUUUGUAAUCGAGCCAAAUGGACUGGGUGUGGUGGGUUGAGUAGAAUAAUCUUUUAUUUUUGGUCGGAUUUGGCUUUAUAUUUAGGCAUUAGUAGAUGUUUUUUUAAAUUUUAGGAUAAAUAGGACACUUAUCCCAAACAUGUGUCCCUAUAACCUAAUUCUGUUGUAGUGAAUGGAGCUCCAACUACUGACGUUAUUUUAAAAGCUAAGUCGAGCAGACACUUAAAAGAUACAGAAGAAAAAAAAAAAAAAAAAAAAAAAAAAAACACCGAGAGCGAACCGUCAAUUGUGAUAAUUUUUGUACAGGUGAUGUUAGUAUUCAUUACCCGACUUAAUCCAGUACAAUUUGGGUGAGGUUUGGUUCUCACAAUUUGGAAAUUUGGGUCUAGUUUUUUUGAGUUGGUUUGAAGUUACAGAACAACGACCUUAUUAGGGCAAAAUAUAUGCUAAUGUUAUUAAAUUACGGUGAACCGAAUUACAAAAGUGAAUAUUUACGAUCGAAAUUUUACUUCAUCCCUUUCCAUUGAUCGAUGAAAAAAACGCGGUUCCUUGUGCUAAGUUAAACGUGACACACAUGCUAGCAUUAAAAUAUAUACACAGGUUAGGAUUUAGGAAUCAAACUUGUGCGUGCCCCUAUGCAGUUUUAUGUUUUUACUGUAGAGUAGAUAUCCCAAGGGACAAAAUGUAGUAUGCCAAAAUUGGCAAAGAAUAGCAAUUUCCUCUUAUCAGUACAUUUUCGAGAAGCCCACAUGUUAGGUGAUGAGAAUGAUGGACCCAUCGCACGUGUUAGAGUGUGAAAAGUGUGUGUAUUUAGAUGCAAAAUCGAAUGAGUCUAUUUGCCUUAUUGGUUCAUUAUAACAAUGCAUGGAGUACAACGUUUGCCACGUGAAUUGAAAUAGAGAAUAAACAAUAUAUACGUACAUAUUUCCGAAGUAGGGUGGGGAACAUGCGUACAGAUGCAAGUUGAUUCGGAUUUACAUAUAGAGCUUUGAUUCUGAUGGGUUCUUCUUACUAGGGCGAAAAGUAGAAGCUAAUUUUUUUUUUUAAAAAAAAAAAACCUCGAAUCAUUAAUAAAAUAAAAUAGUGCAAGGGUAGAGAAUCCCUUUCUUUGGUUGAUUUAUUUCAAUCUAUCAAAAAUUCGCUCCCAUUCUGAUCACUCCCAAAUAAAGCAACAAGUCGAGACAAAAAAUAAGAUAAAAUUUAAUGCGUUGCAAAUCCACUUUGACUUGCCAAAAAAAAAUAGGGCUAGGUGAGAGACCCCUUCUGCCUUCGAAUCUGUCCCGUUUGCAUUCCUAAACACACACACAAAGAUAUAUGUAUAUACAAAUUAUGAAAUUAAAGCACCAUUGAUUGAUUUAAAUCAAAAAAAUUAAAAUAUUAAAUAUAUGUAUGUAUAAUAAAAUUAAAAUUUUGAAAUAAGAUAGUUAACUCAAAAUACUCCAUAGUUCAUGUGAAUUUUAUAUAUUUUUAUCUUUCUAGUAUAUAUAUAAUUUUUGAAAUAAGUCCGAACUAAACUAACUUUAUGUUUGAGAAUUGACUUAUUCUUAAAAAUAAGAAAAAUAACAUUUUAAUAGUUAGAUUGGCAUAGUGGAAUAGGAGUAAUUGAAAUUUUAAAAUAAAAAUAUUUUAUCUAAUUAAUAAUUAUUGAAUAUUAAUAAAUAAUAAUUUAAUCAAUAAUUAAUUAAUUAUGAAUAUUGUGCAAGAUAAUGGAGAGAACCACAUUAAUUAUUUACUUACCUAUAAAAAAUAAGUUAAUAUGCUAAUUUAUUAUUUAAUCAAUUAGAUAAUUAGUUAAUAAACUAAUUAGAUUUGUCAUAUAUAAUACUAAUUGCUUAAUUAAUAUAUAUUACUUAAGGAAUAAGCACAUAAGAUAAUUAAUGAUUUAACUGGCUAGUUAAUUACGCACAAAAAAUUAAUUACGUACCUAGAUAGUUAAUUAAAUAUUUAUAAAUUUGAUGAGUUAAGGGAAUUAGUUAAUAAGUUUUGGUAUACGAUAUAUUUAUUAGUAAUAUUUACAAGCUUAAUUUGUAAUUUAACGACAAAACAAGAAAGGAAAAUAGUAGUCCCAUUCUCAUAAGUGAUUAAUCCCAAAAUUCAGAAAUAAGGCGAAUUGUUGUUUCCCAUUUGUUUGAGAGAAUAAACCGAAAUAAGACCCUUAUUCCACCUUUGUUUUCCAAUCAAACAGCAAACGAGUUUAGUCCCAAAGAGAAUGAAUGUGCAAAACAUGAUUUAAAAUUUUCAUUAUUCGAUUCAAACAAUUCAAAUUCUAAAUUUGACCCUAGUAAAUUACACUAUCCUAUAUGUUUCUAGAUGAAUGCACAGUGUCUUUUUACGUGCAGAGUUUUCACAAGCGCAUGCAUGUCUCUCCAAAUCUUUGAAUAUUAGUUAUUUCACAAGAACAAGAGAUUUUUCGAAACUUUUGCACUAAAAUUAUAUUGAACAAAAUAUUUAAUUUUGAAAGAGGGAAAUAGCAUAUCAUCUGCUUAGUUCUUUUUUAUCUAAAAAAUAAAAUUAACUAUAGACUUUGAACUUAGAAUUUUGAGUAUUAGUCAUUAAAUUUUUUAGCGCUUACGCUAAUUAUAUUAUAAAUACUCAUUAUAUUUUUGGCUGGAGUAAAUCUAUGGGUUUACCCAACCAACUACAUCGAAUUGUUUUGAGUUAAUUCUUCGUUUGUACUAUUACGACCAAAAGCUAAGCUUAAUUAGGCCUCAUAUGUAACUCGUUUUGGAGACAACACGUACGAUUUCAAGCGCAUGAUGUAGAAACAUAUAUGCAUGGGAACAGUUUACUACUGAGUUUCUUCGUUGUACGGCUACGACCCAGAACCAAUUGAAAGACUUAGGUGUGUCAAUAUAGAAACACAAUGUUAACAUAAAGCAUUAAAAACGUUGUUCUCUAAUUACUUAUUGGGUGCGUUUGGUUCGCGCUAUCUUUUAAAGAUUCAUAGUAAUCCAAUGAGAAUAAAAAAAUAUGACGGUGUUUGGCUAAACGCACUAAGUAAUUUAGUUGGUAAUAUUGGAUUCACUUGGGAAUAAGAUUCACCCCAAAGUACUAAUCUCAUUCCCUUGAGGGGGAUGGGUAUCCUCAUAUUAAUGGAUUGGGGUAAUCAUAAUAUGUCUAAUCUUUUUCUUUCUUCAUACCCGCCGGCUAAUUGAUAUUAUUUUUCUUUACACUCUAACCUUAUAUCUCUCUCUAAACUUAUUUUUCUCUCUAAAAUUCAACUUUUUUUUCUCCUCUCUAAACUAAGCUUUCUCUUCUCUCUCUCUCUCUCUUUUUCUAAAAUUUCAACUCUCUCACGUCCUCUAAUUUCGACUAUAUUUUUCUUUUUAUUUUUUAAUAUACUCUCUCUCUCUUAACUUAUAUCUCUCUCAUCUUUUCUAAAAAAAUGUUAAACUUUUGGUAACAUUAUUUAAAAUUAAUUUAAUGUAAUUAUUAAUUAAUUGUUAUAUUUUUGUAAUAUUAAAUAACAUAGAUUAAUAUUACCGUGCGAACCAAGCACAGGAAUUCCACAUUCUUAGUAAUAGGAUGAAUAGGAAUAAGAUUCUCGGAUAUCUUUUAUUCCUAGUAAUCUUUCAUAAUUGCGAACCAAACCACCCAUUAAGUUUUUGGAUUAACGUUGUUUUAUACGAUAUGAGGUAGUGAGUUUAAUCCAAUAAUAUUUUUAGUUACCAACAACAAUUGAGCAAAGUAUAUAAUAUGUGAAACUGAGUAUUGUUUAGUCUUGAGAAAUGAUUCGUACUUUUAAAAAAUAAUAAUAAAAAAGAUCUUAACCGUUGAUUAAUAUAGUAAAAAUGUAAUUUUAAUAUUUAGCAGGUAAAAAGAUUAUUUUAUUCAAGGUUUGUUUGGUAAUUAAACAAUACAACAUUUAAAGAACUUUUAAUUGAGGUCCUAAAUUUAGGCAUUAAUUGCACUAAUUAGAGAAAUUAAUUGAUUAACCAAAUUUAUGCAUUAAUUAGGCAUUAAUUUAGGCAUCUACUUUAAAUGUUUUAGUGUUUCUAAAAUUAUGCAUUAAUUUAAAUUAUAGGAAUUUUAGAAAUAGUUCUAUUUCUAAAUACGAUGAAUUUAAAUUUUAAAUAUUAAAUAUUUAAAAUUUAAAAGUGAAAUUUAAAUUAGAGGAAUUUUGUAUUACUAUUUAAAAAAAUUGUAAUGUUGGUAAAUAUUUUAAUUCAACAUAUUUAAUAUAUUUAAGAAACUUUUAAAUUCAUAUAGUUUAGACAAUAAUUUUGUAUCACUUAUUUAAAAAAUUUUGAAUGUAGGUUAAAAAAUUUAUAAUUUAAAUAUAUUUAAUAUGUUAAAAAAAAAUUAGAGUUGUGCUAGUACUUUAGACAUUAAUUUUGUAUGACUAUUUAAAAACAUUUGUAAUGUUGGUAAAUAUUUAAAUUUAACAUAUUUAAUACGUUUAACAAAAUUAUGAAUUCAUCUUAGUCAUUAAUUUUGUAUACUAAUUUUAAAAAAUUAAAUGUGGGCAAAUAUUUAAAUUCAACAUAUUUAAUCACAAAAUAAUCUAAAUUUCAUUCUUAUUUUAUUAAAAAAAGAUUUAGAAAACAAUAGGUAUGGAAAGAAAUUUUAAUGCAUAGUUUCUUAAAAUUAAACUCGUUUGAAAUAUUAAACAAAUAAACAAAGCGAAAAGAAAAAUUAAAAGAUCAUAUUGUCAAAUAAUUUGAAAAUUUUUUUAUAUGAAAUGCCAAAUUAUGAAAGGAAAGAUAGAGAGAGAAAAAGUAAACAAAGAGAAAAUAAAAAUUUUGAAAAUAUAGUAGAGGUAAAAUGACUAAAUUGCCCAUGUAUUAAAAGAUAAAAAUAUUCUUUUUUGAGAUACCUAGUAAUCGGUACCUCUCCCAAAGUGACCUGCUAUUGCAGGUCACAAUUUAAAAAAAAAAACUAAAUUUGAGCAAUUGAAUACGCAUGAAUAAACGGUAACGAAAAAAAAAAAAAGUAUAGAAGUAUUACUCUAUACAAANUCCAGUACCUUAGACAUUAAUUUUGUAUGACUAUUUAAAAACAUUUGUGAUGUUGGUAAAUAUUUAAAUUUAACAUAUUUAAUACGUUUAACAAAGAGAAAAGAAAAAUUAAAAGAUCAUAUUGUCAAAUAAUUUGAAAAUUUUCUUAUAUGAAAUGCCAAAUUAUGAAAGGAAAGAUAGAGAGAGAGAAAAAGUAAACAAAGAGAAAAUAAAAAUUUUGAAAAUAUAGUAGAGGUAAAAUGACUAAAUUGACUAUGUAUUAAAAGACAAAAAUACCUUUUUUUGAGGUACCUCGUAAUCGGUACCUUUCCCAAAGUGACUGCUAUUGCAGGUCACAAUUUUUAAAAAAUUAAAUCUGAGUAGUUGAAUACGCGUGAAUGAACGGUAAUGAAAAAAAAAAAUAAAGUAUAGAAACAUUACUCAUUAGUCUUUGGCUCUUAGCUUGUUAGUAUCUAUUUCUUUGUAUUUUUUCCUUUUUAAUUCUUCUAUUAUAUAGAGUACACGCGCCUCCUGUACUUUUGAAAAUACGGACACUACAACAAAAACGGUCUAUAGCGACACUUUUAAAUGUAAGUACAUGUCAAAAAAGUGCUGCUAGCUAAAAUUACCGACACUUUUAAAAAGUGUUGCUAUAUGUAGGGUCGCUAGGUAUAUAGUGACAGUUAAAGAGUGUCGCUAUAACCUAAAAGAGUGCUGCUAAUUUACCAAAACUUAUUUAAGCAUUUAGCAAUCAUCGAAAUUCUAUCUCGUUGGUUGCGGUGGCGGAGGAGGACGACAGGAAAGGCUCUUCGUCUAGAAUUUCAGUGGAUUGAGUGAAGAGAGAAGAAAAGAUGGUAAUUGAUUUUUUUUUUUUUUUCUGUUUGUAAUCGGGCCAAAUGGACUGGAUGUGGUGGGUUGAGUAGAGUAAUCUUUUAUUUUUGGUUGGAUUGGGCUUUAUAUUUAGGCAUUAGUAUUUAUUUUUUAAAAUUUUAGCAUAAAUGGGACACUUACUCAAAAGUGUCCCAAACAUGUGUCCCUAUAAUCUAAUUCUGUUGUAGUGGGAGGCCUCCAUAUUUAUAAGUUAUUUUUAAUGAUAGAAUAUUCGAUUUGACAAUUGACUCUGUUAGGUAUAAUCUACGCUAUUGAAACUAUCUGGAAACUAAAUUUAAUAAUCUUUUGAUAUCAUUUACCACGUUAUCAAAAGGUCUCAAAAUUAACUAUUUUAAAAUCCAAAUUACAUAAAACUUUAAUAAAUAUUCAUAACAAGAUCAAUACUUCUGAUUUGAAAUUUAAGUCUUUUAUCACUAUAUUUUAUGAGAUUUUAAUUUACAGCCGUUCAUUUUUAGGCUACUCGUUCACUAGGUAAAUGAAAUCAAAAAAUUGUAAAAUUUAAUUUCUAGAUAGUUCUAAUAACGUAGAUCAUAUCUAACCGAACCGAUUGCUAAUUGUAAAAAUAGUUAAUUUCUU